GGCACCUUCCUGGCUGCAGGCAGGAAAGAUUUGAGGUCUCUGGGGCAAUCCUCUGGGACUCUGACUCCAGGCUUUCCUGGGGCCAUUUUCUUGCAGGUGGGGAUGAAAGAGCGGAGCAGGAGGCCAAUGGGGAAAAGAAGCCUGGAGAAGAAAAUUGGGAUGAGCAGACUAAGAUGCAAAGAGGUGAAGGACCUUUCGUAAGUCACAUUGUUAGUAAACAGUGAAGCUGAGUCUCUCCUGUGGUCUGACACCAGAAUCUGAUGGAUGCAGUCUUGAUCUCAUGGUGCAGAUCACAGAGCAUCCAACUGCUACUCAGCGGCAGGGCUGGAACAGGAGUCAGAGAAGAUGCGACUGAGUUUCCAGGCUCUGUGGCCCGAGGAGCCUGGAGGUGCCUGCAGGUCACGGGGUCUGCCUGGACCAGUGCGCAAUGCCUAUUAAUCGGUACUUAAGUGGAUUCAUCAGUGUGGAGCGGCGGCGGCGGCUGCUGAGCUCAGCCCAGGCCCAAAGAGCCGGGAGCUGGGUUAAUAACACCUUAUUUAGCAGAAAAUUCCACUCCACUGGAGCAUGUUUCAGAGGAGUUUGAUUUGAAUGAGGAUUGAUGUCAAUCCUGCAAGGCAAAGGCGCCUGAAGCUGCUGCCACAUCCACCGCUUGUAAAACAAGCCUUUUGUGAUGACCGAGGGGUGCAUGCAGAACACUGCAGCGUUCCACGCACCUCCGCCCCCACCCAGGCCAGGCAGCUGCAGGCUUGUCCACCCCAGGUGGGCAGGAUGGACAGUCCUUAGAGAACCAGCCAGUGGAAACCCUGUCGCACUGGGGAUUCCUGGGCUUUGGAGCCAGUAGACCAGGAUUCAAAUUUGGAACUGCCAGUUCUUAGCUGGGUGAUCUUGGGCAACUUGUGUAACCUCUCAUAGUCUUGGUAGACUAAUGCCUACCACAGAGAUGUUGAUACCCACCUUGGAGAGUUGAUGUGAGGAUUCAGGAAUGAGGGUGCCAUGGGUUAGAGACGUAACACAUUUCCUGCCAAAGAGGUGGCCCUAAGCCACUAGAGACUCCAUCUGACUCCUGUCUCAGGAUGAGGUGGGGAUGUCAGGGGUGGGAGAAGGCGUAUGGGUUGGGUCCAGUAGAGAGUUUGGGAGGGGCUCUUAUGGUUUCACUGUGACUCACCUCUAAGGCUUUUGCUCCAGCCCCUGGUGAAGAAUCAGACAUUGUCUGCCUUCAGCACCAAAAAGUAUGGCUGGCAGGGCCUGGGGCCUCCAGGGCCAAGGCUAUCCCCAGGAUCCGGGUUAGAAACAGUACAUUCAGGUGGCUGGUUGAUCUGUCUGAUGAAGGAUGAUAGGAAAUAAAAUAUCUUUUUUCCCUUCA
This is a non-coding RNA of Odocoileus virginianus texanus, 1363 nucleotides long. NCBI's taxonomy places the organism in Eukaryota, Metazoa, Chordata, Mammalia, Artiodactyla, Cervidae. The record is from RefSeq and is a predicted model, not a curated record.